UUAUGCACCCUGAACUUUUAAACCUUAUGAAGAAAUACACAUGCUUCAAUGAUUGCUUGCAGAAUUACUGCAGAAGUUUUGUUUUCAGGUGAAAUUUCUUGUCUGCUAAGGAAUGUGAUUUUGGGAGAGACUCAGCACCAGACAAUCACACUCAGAAAAGUGCUCUUUCAUCCAACCGACGCUGUUUGGAUCUCGUCUCCUCUGGCAUCUAGCACUAAUAACCCAGCAGUGGGCCAAGAGAGGCCAAGCAUUCACAGGGAAUGUUGUAAAGCUAAAGACACAUCUGCUGUUAAAUACAGCUACUGUCAGCUAUCUUGAAACAACAAUACGGCUGGAAAAAAAUCAGACCUCUCCUUUAUUUGUCUGCCAAGGAACAUUACACUAAACAGCACCAGAGAAGACUCACCAGGCACCAAACAGACUCUCCUGAAAUUCCCAUCGUUGACCUAAAAAAUCCCUGUGAACCGUACCUGACAGGUCAGGUCUCAGACUGCUGGUCAUAACAGCCAAGGUCAAGUGAAACAGUUGUCUGCAGUCAUCUGGAAGUGGAUCCUCUGGGCAGUAAACACUGUGGUCAGCUUGCGUGUGAAGCUGAGCUGGUGCACUUAGCUUAGCAUAAAGACUGGAAACAAGGACACACAACUAUGUUUCUGGCCACUUGCUGAAUGUAAGUCCAAAAUUCACUGUCCUUUUAUCUC
Molecule: long non-coding RNA, 698 nt
Organism: Thunnus maccoyii (southern bluefin tuna)
Lineage: Eukaryota; Metazoa; Chordata; Actinopteri; Scombriformes; Scombridae
Exons: 5
Source: RefSeq, a predicted model, not a curated record